RNAcentral lists this ribosomal RNA (443 nucleotides) under uncultured bacterium. RNAcentral describes it as "partial 16S ribosomal RNA". It matches the Rfam family "Bacterial small subunit ribosomal RNA", at positions 338 to 795 of the family's 1533-position model. The record is from RNAcentral.
CCUACGGUGGGCAGCAGUGGGGAAUAUUGGGCAAUGGAGGAAACUCUGACCCAGCAACGCCGCGUGGAUGAUGGAGGUCUUUGGAUUGUAACGUUCUUUUCUAAUGGAAGAAGAAAGUGACGGUACCUUAGGAAUAAGCCUCGGCUAACUACGUGCCAGCAGCAGCGGUGAUACGGAGGAGGCGAGCGUUAUCCGGAAUGACUGGGCGUAAGGGGUGCGUAGGUGGUUUGGCAAGUUAGUAGGGAAACUCCAAGGCUCAACCUUGGAACUACUACUAAAACUGUUUGACUUGAGUGAAGGAGGGGCAACCGGAAUUCCUGGUGUAGCGGUGGAAUGCGUAGAUAUCAGGAGGAACACCAGUGGCGAAGGCGGGUUGCUAGACUGUAACUGACACUGAGGCACGAAAGCGUGGGGAGCAAACAGGAUUAGAUACCCGAGUAGUC